RNAcentral lists this non-coding RNA (24 nucleotides) under Arabidopsis thaliana (thale cress). Lineage: Eukaryota; Viridiplantae; Streptophyta; Magnoliopsida; Brassicales; Brassicaceae. The record is from RNAcentral.
AUUUAAGAUACGGUGGAAGGGGAU